AUACAUUUCUCAGUCUUUUGGCUAUGACAAAAUGUAAUAUUUGUUCUUAUCAGUUUAAUAUCUAAUAUGUGGACUAUAUGUUCACUUUGAUAUUAAAAUUAUUUUUAUGGGUAUUUGUUGGAGAGGGUCUACCACACUAAUUUACUAUGAUCUUGUGUGUCACUUAGCCGUUGCACUGCUGGUAGGGUCUGGCCUACCCCAA
Non-coding RNA from Zea mays, 202 nucleotides. Lineage: Eukaryota; Viridiplantae; Streptophyta; Magnoliopsida; Poales; Poaceae. The record is from Rfam.